Non-coding RNA from Misgurnus anguillicaudatus (oriental weatherfish), 1381 nucleotides. NCBI's taxonomy places the organism in Eukaryota, Metazoa, Chordata, Actinopteri, Cypriniformes, Cobitidae. The record is from RefSeq and is a predicted model, not a curated record.
AAUGAAUUCUUUAGUUCGCUGCAAAAACUGAAUCGUCUAAUGCGGUUAAAAAAAUAAAGCUGCAUCGCAUCUCCCAUUUGAACAAAAUAAGGAAUAAGCUAUUUCUCUUUAGAUAUGGCCUACGUAUAAUCAACUUAAAAUUACUUGUAAUAUAAAUCACUUAAAUGGGCUUGUUUUGAGAGAACGAGACGGGGAGAGAGUGUGAGAGAACGCGCGCGCGCGCGAGAGAGAGAGCGGUUACCAGGGUUACCAUGUAAACAAAGCAGAAGCGGCGAUUACAAACAGCGCUUUAUCGGGCAUGAGAUUAGACGGAAAGAAAAUGCAACCAAGACUUUUCUCAAGACAGUUCGAACGUAUUUGCUCCUUUUGCAGUCACGCUUCGUCCACAUUUCUUACAAACUGGAUAUCCAUCUUCAAGGACAACUUCGCGUUCGUUUUUCGGAUAAAAGUUAGAAUUUGUGGUCUCUGGCUCUGACAUUUUCUCUGCUGUACAUAAACGAGUGGAGUCUAGCAGUCACGUGGAAUGAAGUUGCAUAUGGGCUGCAGCGCAGGGCAUUGAGUUCAUCAUGGUCAGCCUGGUGUGAUGCUUCUAUAUUGUGACAUCAUAAUGGCCACUCUUAAGUCACCGCCUGUGGAACAGCAGCAGUCGUUUAUGUGUUCCAGUUGAAUUUUGCUCUUGACACUGCUGGAUUUCUCAUCCAAAAGGAAUGAGAUACUGACUGUUGAGGUUUGUUUGACUAUCAUUAUAAAGUGCAGAUAAGUACAGGUAAGUGUUGUCCAGGUAAGUGGUCUUGAAAAUAUGGGCAGUUUUAUAGUCGUACAAGUAAUUUAUGAAUGGUAAAAAUAAACAACAAGCAUUAGUGCAAACACACACCGAAGCCCUUGUGAGACCCAUUAAUAGUUAAAGUUUAUUAGUUUGAUUAAAAAGUGGUUACAGUUUACAGUUUAGGGUAAAUAAAAAACAUUCAGCCCUUGAAAGGGAGAGUUACAACAGUGAGUUUAAAGUGCUUGAGGAUCACGGGAUUCAUGUUACCUUCAGAUAGUUUCGGAAAAUAGCAGGCCACUCAAAUACACACAAUUAGAGGCAAAGAACUUCAAUUUUUGGAUCAAUAAAUGCAUUGAUAAUACAUUGACAAUAUCUAUAUAACACACUGAUAUGUUUAUGUAGUAGCUUUUUUAUGUAGACUCAUCAAUGGUUUAAAAAUAGCAAAUAUUGGAGGAUUAGAGUGGUUAACUAAUGGCACCUUGUUACUUUAUUUACACCCUCACUAACUUUAAAGCUUUAAAAUCUAUCACAUUGUCUGAGUAUGUAUAACGUUUGUGCAUUUUAUAAUUAAAUAAAAAAAAUGUACAGUUUUAAUUUAGGUAAUUCUCAGCAGAA